Mya arenaria is the source of this 253-nucleotide long non-coding RNA. RefSeq lists it as uncharacterized. NCBI's taxonomy places the organism in Eukaryota, Metazoa, Mollusca, Bivalvia, Myida, Myidae. The record is from RefSeq and is a predicted model, not a curated record. The transcript is spliced from 3 exons.
GGAAAGAUAUGAUCUGCUGGUGAAUGCCUACCAGAACGGCGGAUCCCGAUUCACAGCGAAUCUCUUCGGCUUUAGGCCUGAUGCAUUCUACUUUUACGAGCCGCUUUGGCGAUUCUCUGAGCAGGAGUACUUCCGGUCGCCUGGCACCGUCUGCAGCAUUCUUAACAACACGUGCAGGGAACUAGGAUUGGCUGCUGUAAACCGUGCACGCGACCUUAGGGACAUGAAGCAGCUGGUGGCUGAAGUACCCAUG